GGGAAUUUUGCGCAAUGGGGGAAACCCUGACGCAGCAACGCCGCGUGCGGGACGAAGGCCUUCGGGUUGUAAACCGCUUUCAGCAGGGACGAAUUCCGACGGUACCUGCAGAAGAAGCCCCGGCUAACUGCGUGCCAGCAGCCGCGGUAAUACGUAGGGGGCGAGCGUUAUCCGGAUUCAUUGGGCGUAAAGCGCGCGUAGGCGGCGCGUCAAGCGGGACCUCUAACCCCGGGGCUCAACCCCGGGCCGGGUCCCGGACUGGCGCGCUCGAGUGCGGUAGAGGCGAGUGGAAUUCCCGGUGUAGCGGUGGAAUGCGCAGAUAUCGGGAAGAACACCGAUGGCGAAGGCAGCUCGCUGGGCCGACACUGACGCUGAGGCGCGAAAGCUGGGGGAGCGAACA
This 400-nucleotide ribosomal RNA is filed under the name uncultured bacterium. Its description in RNAcentral is "bacterial SSU rRNA". It matches the Rfam family "Bacterial small subunit ribosomal RNA", at positions 357 to 774 of the family's 1533-position model. The record is from RNAcentral.